UUGAAUGGUAGAGGUGCGGCAGGCAUCAGUACCGGGUUCCGGGGUGACACCAAUGGGGAUUCGGGAAAGGGCUUGUCGCCGAAGUCAGCAGAGUGUCGAAACUGCUGGUUGGGGUGUCGUUGAAUAAGCGCCACACUGUCACGGUGUUGUGUUAACCCGCGAGGGUUAAAGCAGUACGUUCUAUUGCCAUCUGGGCUUGCCUGUUCCGGUGUGUACCGGGCAGGGAACCGUGGAGUGCUACCGAAUCU
Molecule: non-coding RNA, 248 nt
Filed under: Endozoicomonas sp.
Lineage: Bacteria; Pseudomonadati; Pseudomonadota; Gammaproteobacteria; Oceanospirillales; Endozoicomonadaceae
Also listed under: 1 other name
Description: Lysine sequence
Rfam family: Lysine riboswitch aptamer
About the family: Riboswitches are metabolite binding domains within certain messenger RNAs that serve as precision sensors for their corresponding targets. Allosteric rearrangement of mRNA structure is mediated by ligand binding, and this results in modulation of gene expression.
Source: RNAcentral